RNAcentral lists this ribosomal RNA (620 nucleotides) under Bacillus siamensis. RNAcentral describes it as "bacterial SSU rRNA". It matches the Rfam family "Bacterial small subunit ribosomal RNA", at positions 84 to 689 of the family's 1533-position model. RNAcentral also lists the same sequence under 1 other name. The record is from RNAcentral. Lineage: Bacteria; Bacillati; Bacillota; Bacilli; Caryophanales; Bacillaceae.
CCCUGAUGUUAGCGGCGGACGGGUGAGUAACACGUGGGUAACCUGCCUGUAAGACUGGGAUAACUCCGGGAAACCGGGGCUAAUACCGGAUGGUUGUCUGAACCGCAUGGUUCAGACAUAAAAGGUGGCUUCGGCUACCACUUACAGAUGGACCCGCGGCGCAUUAGCUAGUUGGUGAGGUAACGGCUCACCAAGGCGACGAUGCGUAGCCGACCUGAGAGGGUGAUCGGCCACACUGGGACUGAGACACGGCCCAGACUCCUACGGGAGGCAGCAGUAGGGAAUCUUCCGCAAUGGACGAAAGUCUGACGGAGCAACGCCGCGUGAGUGAUGAAGGUUUUCGGAUCGUAAAGCUCUGUUGUUAGGGAAGAACAAGUGCCGUUCAAAUAGGGCGGCACCUUGACGGUACCUAACCAGAAAGCCACGGCUAACUACGUGCCAGCAGCCGCGGUAAUACGUAGGUGGCAAGCGUUGUCCGGAAUUAUUGGGCGUAAAGGGCUCGCAGGCGGUUUCUUAAGUCUGAUGUGAAAGCCCCCGGCUCAACCGGGGAGGGUCAUUGGAAACUGGGGAACUUGAGUGCAGAAGAGGAGAGUGGAAUUCCACGUGUAGCGGUGAAAUGC